GUGCUCUCUUUGACUGCACAUAUCCUGAAAUUGGAGUGAUACAGAAAAGAUUAGCAUGUUCCUUGCACAAAGAUAACAUACCAAUUUAUGAAGCAUCCCAUAUGUUU
Molecule: small nuclear RNA, 107 nt
Organism: Nycticebus coucang (slow loris)
Lineage: Eukaryota; Metazoa; Chordata; Mammalia; Primates; Lorisidae
Source: RefSeq, a predicted model, not a curated record